Long non-coding RNA from Osmia lignaria (orchard mason bee), 673 nucleotides. RefSeq lists it as uncharacterized. NCBI's taxonomy places the organism in Eukaryota, Metazoa, Arthropoda, Insecta, Hymenoptera, Megachilidae. The record is from RefSeq and is a predicted model, not a curated record.
AUUCGAUAUAUCGUUGUUAAAACUGAUUUAUAUCAGUUCGACGUUUCGUGCAAGUCGGUGGAAUGCAAGUUUACCAUUCGUUGAUUCAAGAACCGACGUGUAACUAAUGCGUCGGAAGUGAUUAUCAUAAUGAGAAGAUCGCGUUAACCAUAAUUUGUCUGCUAGAGUUAGCUGUUCGAGGAAUACGGGCUUGUUUACAAACGAGCUUCGAAGCUAUCGGUGUUUGGAUUUGACAUCCGAUCCGAGUAAUACGAAAAUUCAAAGUAUCUGCACGUAGCUGCUAUAAGACGGUGCGAACGAAGGGGUUUAUGGCAUCGUUCAGAAGUCGAAGAUAAAAAAGAAAAAUGUUCAAUACAUUUUCCAACGGUAUGCUGAAAAUUCUCGUCAUUAAAGUGUUAUAGAGGGAAGAAGGAAGGGUUGUUUCUGCAAGCAAUAAGUCCACAAACGUUGAUUUACCUAUGAUGACCAAAAGGACGGUACCUUUCCAACGAAUUCGUCGAAUCCCUUAAACUGAACAAAGGUUAAAGAACGAUGUUAGAAGAGGAAAAAGUAAACUGGUGUUGUCAAGAUUUUGUCGAUGUGUAUAGUGGAUGACUGGACACGUGGAAAAGCAAGUCCAGCUUGUAAAUUUAUGCAAUCCGGUCGAUGCGUGGAAAAAAAAGGAUUGGACCGA